Unclassified non-coding RNA from Otolemur garnettii (small-eared galago), 104 nucleotides. It matches the Rfam family "Y RNA". Rfam says of the family: Y RNAs are components of the Ro ribonucleoprotein particle (Ro RNP), in association with Ro60 and La proteins. The Y RNAs and Ro60 and La proteins are well conserved, but the function of the Ro RNP is not known. Lineage: Eukaryota; Metazoa; Chordata; Mammalia; Primates; Galagidae. The record is from Ensembl.
GGCUGGUCGGAGAGCAGUGGCACUUACAACUAAUGGAUCACACCCAAAGUUACAGAUGCCUUUGUUCCUUCUCCAUUUCCACUACUUCACUUAAUUAGCCUUUA